RNAcentral lists this ribosomal RNA (495 nucleotides) under uncultured bacterium. RNAcentral's name for it is "partial 16S ribosomal RNA". It matches the Rfam family "Bacterial small subunit ribosomal RNA", at positions 28 to 507 of the family's 1533-position model. The record is from RNAcentral.
GACGAACGCUGGCGGCGUGCCUAAUACAUGCAAGUAGAACGCUGAAGGAGGAGCUUGCUUCUCUGGAUGAGUUGCGAACGGGUGAGUAACGCGUAGGUAACCUGCCUGGUAGCGGGGGAUAACUAUUGGAAACGAUAGCUAAUACCGCAUAAGAGUAGAUGUUGCAUGACAUUUGCUUAAAAGGUGCAAUUGCAUCACUACCAGAUGGACCUGCGUUGUAUUAGCUAGUUGGUGGGGUAACGGCUCACCAAGGCGACGAUACAUAGCCGACCUGAGAGGGUGAUCGGCCACACUGGGACUGAGACACGGCCCAGACUCCGACGGGAGGCAGCAGUAGGGAAUCUUCGGCAAUGGACGGAAGUCUGACCGAGAAACGCCGCGUGAGUGAAGAAGGUUUUCGGAUCGUAAAGCUCGGUUGUAAGAGAAGAACGAGUGUGAGAGUGGAAAGUUCACACUGUGACGGUAUCUUACCAGAAAGGGACGGCUAACUACGUG